Molecule: long non-coding RNA, 722 nt
Filed under: Panax ginseng (ginseng)
Lineage: Eukaryota; Viridiplantae; Streptophyta; Magnoliopsida; Apiales; Araliaceae
Description: long non-coding RNA (PGIN_LNC002764)
Source: RNAcentral
GUAGGUGUAACAUGAUUCUAUACUAUCCAUGCAGCUGAUGCAGCUACUCAUGGCGGUGGUUACAAUAAUGACGGACACCACGGCGGUGGAGGUGGACACCAUGGCGGUGGAGGUGGAGGACACCAUGGCGGUGGAGGUGGAGGCCACCAUGGCAGUGUAAGCUACAAUAAUGACGAACAUCACGGUGGUGGUGGUGGUGGAGGUGGAGGUUACGGCUAUGGCGGACACUGCCAUCAUGGACAUUGCCAUCGUGGAUACUGCUAUCGUGGACACUGCUAUCCUAGACGCUGCUAUCGUGGACACUGCCGUCAUGGUGAGGUGGUGGAGGCAGAGACUACCGAAGCCAAGCCUCACAACUAGAGGAUCGGAGGAGUAUUUGAUGCUGUUAAUGCACUCCUUAUAGUUGGUGAAUAAUGCACGGAUAAUACAUACGUACUGCUACUGCUUCGUCGAGUGUAGUAUAACAAUAUGUAAAAUAAAAGCAUGCAUGAUCACUCCUUAUGUCAUUGGAUCUUCAGUGGUACUGAUGCCAUUUAGAUGGAUAGUCAUGAUAGUAAUUAAUUAUUACUGUAUGUGUCUGCAUUUUCCUUUAAAGUGAUGUAAUUAUAAUUAAUUAAGGAGUGCUAUUUCUAUUUCAUAAUUCUAUUAUAAUGAUGUAUAAUUCUAUCUCCUGUCUCAUGCAUCAUUGUACGACGGUCAUAUUACAAAUAAAUAAUGANNNN